UAGGAAUAUGCCUUAAAGUGGGGGACAACCUGGGGAAACUCAGGCUAAUACCGCAUAAUCUCUGAGGAGAGAAGCUGGGGACCUUCGGGCCUGGCGCUUUAAGAUUAGCCUGCGUACGAUUAGCUAGUUGGUAGGGUAAAGCCUACCAAGGCGACGAUCGUUAGCUGGUCUGAGAGGAUGAUCAGCCACACUAGGACUGAGAUACCGGCCCAGACUCCGUACGGGGAGCAG
This 231-nucleotide ribosomal RNA is filed under the name uncultured bacterium. RNAcentral's name for it is "partial 16S ribosomal RNA". It matches the Rfam family "Bacterial small subunit ribosomal RNA", at positions 118 to 347 of the family's 1533-position model. The record is from RNAcentral.